Molecule: transfer RNA, 68 nt
Filed under: Mictyris thailandensis
Lineage: Eukaryota; Metazoa; Arthropoda; Malacostraca; Decapoda; Mictyridae
Description: tRNA-Phe
Source: RNAcentral
GUCUAUAUAAUUUAUGGAAAAGAAUAUUGUAUUGAAGAUACAAAAGAGACAUUAUUUGUCUGUGGACA